Molecule: ribosomal RNA, 471 nt
Filed under: uncultured bacterium
Lineage: Bacteria
Description: bacterial SSU rRNA
Rfam family: Bacterial small subunit ribosomal RNA
Source: RNAcentral
GACAAACGCUGGCGGCGUGCCUAACACAUGCAAGUCGAACGGAGAUUGCGAGGGAGCUUGCUCCCAUGCAAUUUUAGUGGCGGACGGGUGAGUAACGCGUGAGUAACCUGCCUUGGAGAGGGGAAUAACACAAAGAAAUUUGUGCUAAUACCGCAUAUGGUGAUAGUACCGCAUGGUAUAGUCAUGAAAGAUUUAUCGCUCCAAGAUGGACUCGCGUCCGAUUAGCCAGUUGGCGGGGUAACGGCCCACCAAAGCAACGAUCGGUAGCCGGACUGAGAGGUUGAACGGCCACAUUGGGACUGAGACACGGCCCAGACUCCUACGGGAGGCAGCAGUGGGGAAUAUUGGUCAAUGGGGGAAACCCUGAACCAGCAACGCCGCGUGAAGGACGAAGGUCUUCGGAUCGUAAACUUUUGUCGUAUGGGACGAAAAAUGACGGUACCAUACAAGGAAGCCACGGCUAACUACGUG